AGAGUGAACGCUGGCGGUAGGCCUAACACAUGCAAGUCGAACGGCAGCACAGUGGUAGCAAUACCAUGGGUGGCGAGUGGCGGACGGGUGAGGAAUACAUCGGAAUCUACCUUUUCGUGGGGGAUAACGUAGGGAAACUUACGCUAAUACCGCAUACGCCCUUCGGGGGAAAGCCGGGGAUCGCAAGACCUGGCGCGGAUAGAUGAGCCGAUGUCGGAUUAGCUAGUUGGUGAGGUAAUGGCUCACCAAGGCGACGAUCCGUAGCUGGUCUGAGAGGAUGAUCAGCCACACUGGAACUGAGACACGGUCCAGACUCCGUACGGGAGCAGCAGUGGGGAAUAUUAGGACAAGUGGGCG
RNAcentral lists this ribosomal RNA (357 nucleotides) under uncultured soil bacterium. RNAcentral describes it as "bacterial SSU rRNA". It matches the Rfam family "Bacterial small subunit ribosomal RNA", at positions 26 to 377 of the family's 1533-position model. The record is from RNAcentral.